RNAcentral lists this ribosomal RNA (425 nucleotides) under uncultured bacterium. RNAcentral's name for it is "partial 16S ribosomal RNA". It matches the Rfam family "Bacterial small subunit ribosomal RNA", at positions 354 to 796 of the family's 1533-position model. The record is from RNAcentral.
GUGGGGAAUCUUGCGCAAUGGGCGAAAGCCUGACGCAGCCAUGCCGCGUGAAUGAUGAAGGUCUUAGGAUUGUAAAAUUCUUUCACCGGGGACGAUAAUGACGGUACCCGGAGAAGAAGCUCCGGCUAACUUCGUGCCAGCAGCCGCGGUAAUACGAAGGGGGCUAGCGUUGCUCGGAAUUACUGGGCGUAAAGGGCGCGUAGGCGGACAGCUUAGUCAGAGGUGAACGCCCAGGGCUCAACCUUGGAAUUGCCUUUGAUACUGGCUGUCUUGAGUUUGGGAGAGGUGAGUGGAACUCCGAGUGUAGAGGUGAAAUUCGUAGAUAUUAGGAAGAACACCAGUGGCGAAGGCGACUCACUGGUCCGGUACUGACGCUGAGGUGCGAAAGCGUGGGGAGCAAACAGGAUUAGAUACCCUUGUAGUCC